RNAcentral lists this ribosomal RNA (553 nucleotides) under Tritia sp. p LAG-2017. RNAcentral describes it as "partial 12S ribosomal RNA". Lineage: Eukaryota; Metazoa; Mollusca; Gastropoda; Neogastropoda; Nassariidae. The record is from RNAcentral.
CGCGGUUAUACCAAGUGAUUAAGUUAUAUUUUUAGGUAAAAAGACAGUUAGGUUUAAAAAUAAGUUUAGUCUAUUGACCACUUGUAAAAAAGUAAAAUUUGUAUACAAGUAGCUAAUCUAGAAGUGACUAUAUUAAAUACUGAAGCUGUGAUAGUCUUGAGGGAAACUGGGAUUAGAUACCCCAUUAUUCUUGACUGUAAAUACAAUUAAAUUUACCAGAGUACUAUGAAUAGUUAAAAAUUUAAAACUCAAAGGGCUUGGCGGUGUUUUAGACCUAUCAGGGGAACCUGUCUCGUAAUCGACAAUCCACGUUAUAUCUAACCUUACUUUGUAUUCAGUUUGUAUACCGUCGUCGUCAGGUAACUUUUAAAAAUAUGGAAGUUAGCGAUAGAAAUUGUGUAAAUUAAGACGUCAGAUCAAGGUGCAGCCUAUAGUGAGGAGAGGAUGGGUUACAAUUAUUAAAUUUAUAAUCACGGAAAUUUAAAUGAAAUCAUAUUUUGAAGGAGGACUUGAAAGUAAACUAGAAUAUAUAAAUAGUUUGAAUAAGGCUCUG